UCCGUAGGCGGUGCGGCAAGUCGGAAGUGAAAUCUCUGGGCUUAACUCAGAGGCUGCUUCCGAAACUGCCGUGCUCGAGUGUGAGAGAGGCGAGUGGAAUUACGGGUGUAGCGGUGAAAUGCGUAGAUAUCCGUAGGAACAUCCGAGGCGAAAGCGGCUCGCUGGAUCACAACUGACGCUGAGGGACGAAAGCUAGGGAGCAAACAGGAUUAGAUACCCUGGUAGUCCUAGCCCUAAACCAUCAGGACUUGGGGUUUGCCCUGUACGGGGCAAGUCCCGGAGCUAACGCGUUAAGUCCUGCGCCUGGGGAGUACGGUCGCAAGGCUGAA
This 329-nucleotide ribosomal RNA is filed under the name uncultured bacterium. RNAcentral describes it as "bacterial SSU rRNA". It matches the Rfam family "Bacterial small subunit ribosomal RNA", at positions 568 to 898 of the family's 1533-position model. The record is from RNAcentral.